Molecule: ribosomal RNA, 910 nt
Filed under: Alternaria malorum
Lineage: Eukaryota; Fungi; Ascomycota; Dothideomycetes; Pleosporales; Pleosporaceae
Description: eukaryotic LSU rRNA
Rfam family: Eukaryotic large subunit ribosomal RNA
Source: RNAcentral
UACCCGCUGAACUUAAGCAUAUCAAUAAGCGGAGGAAAAGAAACCAACAGGGAUUGCCCUAGUAACGGCGAGUGAAGCGGCAACAGCUCAAAUUUGAAAUCUGGCUCUUUUAGAGUCCGAGUUGUAAUUUGCAGAGGGCGCUUUGGCUUUGGCAGCGGUCCAAGUUCCUUGGAACAGGACGUCACAGAGGGUGAGAAUCCCGUACGUGGUCGCUGGCUAUUGCCGUGUAAAGCCCCUUCGACGAGUCGAGUUGUUUGGGAAUGCAGCUCUAAAUGGGAGGUACAUUUCUUCUAAAGCUAAAUAUUGGCCAGAGACCGAUAGCGCACAAGUAGAGUGAUCGAAAGAUGAAAAGCACUUUGGAAAGAGAGUCAAACAGCACGUGAAAUUGUUGAAAGGGAAGCGCUUGCAGCCAGACUUGCUUGCAGUUGCUCAUCCGGGCUUUUGCCCGGUGCACUCUUCUGCAGGCAGGCCAGCAUCAGUUUGGGCGGUAGGAUAAAGGUCUCUGUCACGUACCUCUCUUCGGGGAGGCCUUAUAGGGGAGACGACAUACUACCAGCCUGGACUGAGGUCCGCGCAUCUGCUAGGAUGCUGGCGUAAUGGCUGUAAGCGGCCCGUCUUGAAACACGGACCAAGGAGUCUAACAUCUAUGCGAGUGUUUGGGUGUCAAGCCCGAGCGCGUAAUGAAAGUGAACGGAGGUAGGAACCCGCAAGGGUGCACUAUCGACCGAUCCUGAUGUCUUCGGAAGGAUUUGAGUAAGAGCAUGGCUGUUGGGACCCGAAAGAUGGUGAACUAUGCUUGAAUAGGGUGAAGCCAGAGGAAACUCUGGUGGAGGCUCGCAGCGGUUCUGACGUGCAAAUCGAUCGUCAAAUUUGGGCAUAGGGGCGAAAGACUAAUCGAACUAUCUAGUAG